Non-coding RNA from Pelobates cultripes (western spadefoot toad), 393 nucleotides. Lineage: Eukaryota; Metazoa; Chordata; Amphibia; Anura; Pelobatidae. The record is from the annotation of a GenBank genome assembly.
GUGGGGGGGACACAAUGGAGGGAAGCUCCUGGGGGGCCGACGGGGAUCACAAGAAUGUUGGCUAUUAUCAAAGUUAUUUACGUUUAUGUUUAUGUUCAAAGCUAAAGAUUUGAUGUAACACGGUUUACGCUCAUACUAGGGCGGGGACCAGGUCGGAGCGGAACAGACCAGAACCCUUCUCACAUACAAUACACUCACUAUACCAUUCCUGGCUUAGACUCCGACCAUAACUCUACAUACACACUUGCAAGAAACUCUCAGCGGAGCUCUAGGCAAACACCGAUCCGGUUAUCGGUGCGACACCUGACAACUCCUGCUGGGACGCAAGUGUCCCUCCUCUUUAGAGGAGAUCUCGGGGUGACACACACCUCUCCCACUCCCGCUUAUACACAC